ACAACGGAGAGUUUGAUCCUGGCUCAGGACGAACGCUGGCGGCGUGCCUAACACAUGCAAGUCAAGGAGAAGGAUACCUUCGGGUAGCCGGAUACUGGCGCACGGGUGAGUAACACGUGGAUAAUCUGCCCUUUACACAGACAUAACUCAGGGAAACUUGAGCUAAUAUCUGAUGAGGCCUCCGGGUCAAAGCUACGGCGGUAAAGGAUGAGUCUGCGUCUGAUUAGCUAGUUGGUAAGGUAAUGGCUUACCAAGGCGACGAUCAGUAACUGGUCUGAGAGGACGAUCAGUCACACUGGAACUGAGACACGGUCCAGACUCCUA
This 324-nucleotide ribosomal RNA is filed under the name Ignavibacteriota bacterium. Its description in RNAcentral is "bacterial SSU rRNA". It matches the Rfam family "Bacterial small subunit ribosomal RNA", at positions 1 to 341 of the family's 1533-position model. The record is from RNAcentral. Lineage: Bacteria; Pseudomonadati; Ignavibacteriota.